This 422-nucleotide long non-coding RNA is filed under the name Homo sapiens (human). RNAcentral describes it as "CSRP3 and E2F8 antisense RNA 1". Lineage: Eukaryota; Metazoa; Chordata; Mammalia; Primates; Hominidae. The record is from RNAcentral.
AAUAUCACCAGUGGGAAUCUACUGUGGAAAAUUGAGUACAACACUAUCAUCAUAUGAUUUGUUUUGCUCAUAUUUGGCUGUGCCAUUGGCUGCGGAGCCAGGCAGCGAACUCCACACAAUGAGGAGCCUGUGAAAACGCAGAGAAGGCAAGAAAGGAUGCAAACAUUUAGGCAGCAUCUGAUGGUAGCUGGCUUGUGGUUUACCUGGCCUUUGGUUAGAUAACUGUGCCUGAUCCCUAUGGCCAGGAAGGAAGGAGCUGAAGAAUUCACAUUUGGGCUGAUGGGCCUGGGGUAGGGAUGACCAACAGACCACAUGCUUCUUGUCUCUUCUACUCCCUGAUCCUCUGAUAGACAGGGCUAAGUGAUCAUCCACUCCUUCCACCCUCCAGCCUCCGAGUGGGCCACUUUUCAAGCAUGGAAUUC